CCCGUCAGGGACAGUUAGGUUUACUUGGUCUUGCAUCAGUGCAGGGGGCUGAACUACAUGACCUUUUGAGGUCCCUUCCAGCCCUACAUUUCUAUGA
Long non-coding RNA from Dermochelys coriacea (leatherback sea turtle), 97 nucleotides. RefSeq lists it as uncharacterized. NCBI's taxonomy places the organism in Eukaryota, Metazoa, Chordata, Testudines, Dermochelyidae. The record is from RefSeq and is a predicted model, not a curated record. The transcript is spliced from 3 exons.